UCACUAGAGAUGUUAGCUAGA
This 21-nucleotide non-coding RNA is filed under the name Caenorhabditis elegans. Lineage: Eukaryota; Metazoa; Nematoda; Chromadorea; Rhabditida; Rhabditidae. The record is from RNAcentral.